Molecule: ribosomal RNA, 504 nt
Filed under: uncultured bacterium
Lineage: Bacteria
Description: bacterial SSU rRNA
Rfam family: Bacterial small subunit ribosomal RNA
Source: RNAcentral
GGCUCAGGACGAACGCUGGCGGCGUGCUUAACACAUGCAAGUCGAGCGGGGAUAAACCAGAUGAAAGCUUCGGCCGGAUCAGGUUAUUCCAGCGGCGGACGGGUGAGUAACGCGUGAGCAAUCUGUCCCAGACAGGGGGAUAACACUUGGAAACAGGUGCUAAUACCGCAUAAGACCACGACCUCACAUGAGGUUGAGGUAAAAAGGAGCAAUCCGGUUUGGGGUGAGCUCGCGUCCGAUUAGCUAGUUGGCGAGGUAACGGCCCACCAAGGCGACGAUCGGUAGCCGACCUGAGAGGGUGAUCGGCCACAUUGGAACUGAGACACGGUCCAAACUCCUACGGGAGGCAGCAGUGGGGAAUAUUGGGCAAUGGGCGAAAAAGCCUGACCCAGCAACGCCGCGUGAGGGAAGAAGGUUUUCGGAUUGUAAACCUCUGUCCUCAGGGACGAAGGAAGUGACGGUACCUGAGGAGGAAGCCCCGGCUAACUACGUGCCAGCCGCAGC